AUGUUUGUUAGUCGUGAUGAUCAAAGAUAAGUUUUCGUAAUUAUUAGUAAAUUUCAGGUCAUAAUUCUCAAAUAGCAAAGUCCCAACCACUUUUAUAAUGAGAUAUAAUCAUUUUGUAGGUUAUUUGUUGCCACUGUGUUGGCAGGUAGGCCAGUAUUUUACCCAUAUGAUGGAGAUCAGAGUUGGCCAUAUCAUAGUCGAGAUCGGCGGGUGUUUUGUCUGAAUGCUUUAAGUGAAUUGGCUGCUUUUUUUCUUUCAGCUCAAACUUUUGGAGUAGUGGUUAAAGCCAGUGAUCCACAAAUAACAUUAGAGCAAGUCAUGGAUAAAAUUUGAUUCACGCAUGCUACAAUGUGUGCAGCUGCCAGAGGAGACUAUUCGCAAGUAGGUCAGCAUUCUAUCCAUAUGGCAAAGCAAUCAAAAUUCACAAAUGUUAAGUGUCUAUGCACUUUAAGUUAAUUAGUUACCUCUUUUUUUCUUUUAGCUCGAGUUUUUAAAAUAGUAAUUAUUGCCGAUCCACAUAUUGCUGGUAAAAGAAGUCCAUCAUUUACUCAAGAUGUCAUAAUUAACUUUAGUAUUAGUAUGUUUCAACCUGUUCAUUAUUAUGGUGAUUUUUCGCUGUGUAAUUGUACUAUGACAUGAGGUUAAUGACAAAGAUUAGUUGGGAAGUUCUACCAUAUUUUUACCCUUGUUUUAGCCUCUUUAGCGAAAAGUUGUUGUCUUUUAUUAUCUUCACCAAAUAGAAAGUGGUUGAAGCAAUCUUUUCUUCAGAUAUUAGUCAUGUUACAACUACCACUAGCUUUUAAGAUUCCCUAAGCUUGGCAUUAUGAACCUACCCUAAAUUCUGUAGGAAAACAAUUUACCAUAUUUUAUAAUUAACUUUGGCAGUUUGG
RNAcentral lists this long non-coding RNA (890 nucleotides) under Ananas comosus (pineapple). RNAcentral describes it as "long non-coding RNA (ACOM_LNC009124)". Lineage: Eukaryota; Viridiplantae; Streptophyta; Magnoliopsida; Poales; Bromeliaceae. The record is from RNAcentral.